AUAACGUCGCAAGACCAAAGAGGGGGACCUUCGGGCCUCUUGCCAUCAGAUGUGCCCAGAUGGGAUUAGCUUGUUGGUGAGGUAACGGCUCACCAAGGCGACGAUCCCUAGCUGGUCUGAGAGGAUGACCAGCCACACUGGAACUGAGACACGGUCCAGACUCCUACGGGAGGCAGCAGUGGGGAAUAUUGCACAAUGGGCGCAAGCCUGAUGCAGCCAUGCCGCGUGUAUGAAGAAGGCCUUCGGGUUGUAAAGUACUUUCAGCGGGGAGGAAGGUGUUGUGGUUAAUAACCGCAGCAAUUGACGUUACCCGCAGAAGAAGCACCGGCUAACUCCGUGCCAGCAGCCGCGGUAAUACGGAGGGUGCAAGCGUUAAUCGGAAUUACUGGGCGUAAAGCGCACGCAGGCGGUCUGUCAAGUCGGAUGUGAAAUCCCCGGGCUCAACCUGGGAACUGCAUUCGAAACUGGCAGGCUUGAGUC
This 480-nucleotide ribosomal RNA is filed under the name Salmonella enterica subsp. enterica serovar Enteritidis. Its description in RNAcentral is "bacterial SSU rRNA". It matches the Rfam family "Bacterial small subunit ribosomal RNA", at positions 173 to 648 of the family's 1533-position model. Lineage: Bacteria; Pseudomonadati; Pseudomonadota; Gammaproteobacteria; Enterobacterales; Enterobacteriaceae. The record is from RNAcentral.